CCAUACACCGAAACUGCGGGUGCAUCCUUCGGGAUGCGCGGUAGCGGAGCGUUCUGUAAGUCUGCGAAGGGAGACCCGCGAGGGCUCCUGGAGAUAUCAGAAGUGCGAAUGCUGACAUGAGUAACGAUAAAGAGUGUGAGAGACACUCUCGCCGAAAGUCCAAGGGUUCCUGCGCAACGCUAAUCGGCGCAGGGUUAGCCGGCCCCUAAGGCGAGGCCGAAAGGCGUAGUCGAUGGGAAUGCAGUUAAUAUUCUGCAGCUUGUGGGUAGUGACGGAUGCCGUGUGUUGUAUCUCCUUAUUGGAUUGGGGGUGCAGCGAAGGUGUUCCAGGAAAUAGCUCCCACGUAUAAACCGUACCCGAAACCGACACAGGUGGACUGGUAGAGCAUACCAAGGCGCUUGAGAGAACUAUGCUGAAGGAACUCGGCAAAAUGCUCCCGUAAGUUCGCGAGAAGGGAGACCUCAUGGUGGGCAACCACUGUGGGGUGGCACAGACCAGGGGGUGGCGACUGUUUAUCAAAAAACACAGGGCUCUGCGAAGUCGCAAGACGACGUAUAGGGUCUGACGCCUGCCCGGUGCUGGAAGGUUAAGAGGAGGUGUGCAAGCACCGAAUUGAAGCCCCAGUAAACGGCGGCCGUAACUAUAACGGUCCUAAGGUAGCGAAAUUCCUUGUCGGGUAAGUUCCGACCUGCACGAAUGGCGUAACGACUUCCCCGCUGUCUCCAGCAUAGACUCAGUGAAAUUGAAUUCCCCGUGAAGAUGCGGGGUUCCUGCGGUCAGACGGAAAGACCCCGUGCACCUUUACUACAGCUUCACACUGGUAUUCGUCACGACAUGUGUAGGAUAGGUGGUAGACGUUGAAGCCUUGGCGCCAGCUGAGGUGGAGUCACCCUUGAAAUACCACCCUUGUCGUCAUGGAUAUCUAACCGCGGUACAACCAUAUCCGGGACCGUGUGUGGCGGGUAGUUUGACUGGGGCGGUCGCCUCCCAAAUGGUAACGGAGGCGCGCGAAGGUGGGCUCAGAGCGGUCGGAAAUCGCUCGUUGAGUGCAAUGGCAUAAGCCUGCCUGACUGCGAGACUGACAAGUCGAGCAGAGACGAAAGUCGGCCAUAGUGAUCCGGUGGUCCCUCGUGGAAGGGCCAUCGCUCAACGGAUAAAAGGUACGCCGGGGAUAACAGGC
This 1180-nucleotide ribosomal RNA is filed under the name bacterium EBAD36. RNAcentral's name for it is "bacterial LSU rRNA". It matches the Rfam family "Bacterial large subunit ribosomal RNA", at positions 1187 to 2482 of the family's 2925-position model. The record is from RNAcentral.